Molecule: ribosomal RNA, 220 nt
Filed under: uncultured bacterium
Lineage: Bacteria
Description: partial 16S ribosomal RNA
Rfam family: Bacterial small subunit ribosomal RNA
Source: RNAcentral
GAUCAUGGCUCAGGACGAACGCUGGCGGCAUGCCUAACACAUGCAAGUCGAACGGAGCACCCUUGACUAAGUUUUCGGACGAGGGAGAGGAAUGCUUAGUGGCGGACGGGUGAGUAACGCGUGAGCAAUCUGCCUUUCAGAGGGGGACAACAGCUGGAAACGGCUGCUAAUACCGCAUAAUAUAUACUGGCCGCAUGACCGGUAUAUCAAAGAUUUAUCG